RNAcentral lists this ribosomal RNA (484 nucleotides) under uncultured bacterium. Its description in RNAcentral is "partial 16S ribosomal RNA". It matches the Rfam family "Bacterial small subunit ribosomal RNA", at positions 29 to 523 of the family's 1533-position model. The record is from RNAcentral.
AGUGAACGCUGGCGGCGUGCUCAACACAUGCAAGUCGAACGAGAACGGGUUAUAGCUUGCUAUAAUUGUCAGCUAAGUGGCGCACGGGUGAGUAAUGUAUAGGUAAUAUGCCUCUUACUAAGGGAUAACAAAUGGAAACGUUUGCUAAUACCUUAUACUCCUUAUUAACAGAAGUUAAUAAGGGAAAGAUUUAUUGGUAAGAGAUUAGCCUGUAUUGUAUCAGUUAGUUGGUGGGGUAAUGGCUUACCAAGGCUAUGACACAUAACUGGUUUGAGAGGAUGAUCAGUCACACUGGAACUGAGACACGGUCCAGACUCCUACGGGAGGCAGCAGUGGGGAAUAUUGCACAAUGGACGAAAGUCUGAUGCAGCAACGCCGCGUGGAGGAUGACACAUUUCGGUGCGUAAACUCCUUUUAUAUGAGAAGAUAAUGACGGUAUUAUAUGAAUAAGCACCGGCUAACUCCGUGCCAGCCGCCGCCGUAA